CCGAGAUUGCACCAUUGCGCUCCAGCCUGGGCAACAAGAGUGAAACUUCGUUCCAAAAAAAAAAAAUGUUAAAACCAUCCACUCAUGUUUGUUGGGUGCCAGUUUUGUCCCAGGCACUGUGCUGGGUGUUAGGGACAGUUCAGGGCUCCAAGAACUCAGCCUUGCAUUUGGGGGCAGUUGGGAGCUUGCAGAUGGGCUUUCUGGGGAGUCCAUGGGUCAUAUUGAUACAGAAUGGCUGGGGCCCCAGCUAAGCCCCACUCUCAAGCCUGGAACCUCAGCCCUAAGUGAAAACAGCUGACCCUAUUUUUCACCCAAAUGAUUGCCUUUUUGGCCUGCCACACCCCUAUCCUGUGCCCAUAAAAAGACUUCAGCUGGUAGAGCAACAGGAGCGGCUGAUGCAAGUGGUUGGGGAUGUGGGCUGCUGAGCCUCAGGGAUCCAUGCGGCUGAGCGUUGGGGAUACAAGCUGCUGAGGCUCGGGGAUCCAUGCGGCUGAGCGUCGGAGACUGUGGAUAGAUGUGGCUAACUUCAGGCGGUGCAGCUUCUGGGAAGGAUCACCUUCUUCCCAUACCAUCCCCUUUCCAAUUCCCCAUCCCGCUCAGAGCCACUUUUAUUGUCCAAUAAAGUCUUCCACAUACACUACCC
Molecule: long non-coding RNA, 643 nt
Filed under: Homo sapiens (human)
Lineage: Eukaryota; Metazoa; Chordata; Mammalia; Primates; Hominidae
Description: non-protein coding lnc-C16orf72-8:1
Source: RNAcentral